CCUACGGGUGGCUGCAGUGGGGAAUAUUGGACAAUGGGGGGAACCCUGAUCUAGCCAUGCCGCGUGUGUGAAGAAGGCCCCCGGGUUGUAAAGCACUUUCAGUGAGGAAGAACGCCUGGUGGUUAAUACCCAUCAGGAAAGACAUCACUCACAGAAGAAGCACCGGCUAACUCCGUGCCAGCAGCCGCGGUAAUACGGAGGGUGCGAGCGUUAAUCGGAAUUACUGGGCGUAAAGCGCGCGUAGGUGGCUUGAUAAGCCGGUUGUGAAAGCCCCGGGCUCAACCUGGGAACGGCAUCCGGAACUGUCAAGCUAGAGUGCAGGAGAGGAAGGUAGAAUUCCCGGUGUAGCGGUGAAAUGCGUAGAGAUCGGGAGGAAUACCAGUGGCGAAGGCGGCCUUCUGGACUGACACUGACACUGAGGUGCGAAAGCGUGGGUAGCAAACAGGAUUAGAUACCCCAGUAGUC
This 465-nucleotide ribosomal RNA is filed under the name Vreelandella stevensii. RNAcentral's name for it is "partial 16S ribosomal RNA". It matches the Rfam family "Bacterial small subunit ribosomal RNA", at positions 338 to 795 of the family's 1533-position model. Lineage: Bacteria; Pseudomonadati; Pseudomonadota; Gammaproteobacteria; Oceanospirillales; Halomonadaceae. The record is from RNAcentral.